This is a long non-coding RNA of Equus caballus (horse), 653 nucleotides long. RefSeq lists it as uncharacterized. NCBI's taxonomy places the organism in Eukaryota, Metazoa, Chordata, Mammalia, Perissodactyla, Equidae. The record is from RefSeq and is a predicted model, not a curated record.
GGGUCCGGCCACUUCCGGGAGCUCCCGCGCAGGCGCAGCCCGCGGUCACGUGAGCGAGUCAAGGGGGCGGCGCCGCUUACCUGGGCCCAGCACUGCCUGCGCCGUGUGAUAAGGUGUCGGCUUUCUCUGCGUGUGGGUAUCUCUUCCCCGCCUGCUGCCGCGGCGGGUGGACAGGGCGCUUUCAUGUAAAAGUAACUAUUCCUCCACUCGAACGACUUCUCGGUGAAGGACUCCUCUUACUGCCACCUGCGAGAGUUUGCGGCAACGUAAGAGCUUGCAGCCUCAGGGUUAUUGUGACCUAUGGUAGUUCAUUCACCGCGCUGCUGUGUGCAAGUACUGAGCCUGGUAGGCAAGGUCCCUGCCGUUGUGAAGCUACAGUCAGGUCUGAAGGCUGGAAAGCCCAACGUCAAUAUGUUGGCAGAUUCAGUAGCUGGAUUGCUUUGGCUAUUCAGAAACCCCAUUUUAAAGCUUUAAAUGGAUUAAUUCUGGCCUUACACACUGCAUUGAGAGGUCAAAACUGAUACACCAAAGAUGGCAAAGCAGAAAGGCAGAAAGAAACUGGUUCCUUGGUGACACCUUUGUUUUACUAACUGUGGAGCCCUCCUACCUCUGGACUUUGUUAUAUGAUAUAAUAAACUUCCUUUUUUGCCUAA